UACGUAGGGACCAAGCGUUGUUCGGAUUUACUGGGCGUAAAGGGCGCGUAGGCGGCUUGACAAGACACUUGUGAAAUCUCCGGGCUUAACUCGGAACGGCCAAGUGAAACUGUCAUGCUAGAGUGCAGAAGGGGCAAUCGGAAUUCUUGGUGUAGCGGUGAAAUGCGUAGAUAUCAAGAGGAACACCUGAGGUGAAGACGGGUUGCUGGGCUGACACUGACGCUGAGGCGCGAAAGCCAGGGGAGCAAACGGG
Molecule: ribosomal RNA, 253 nt
Filed under: uncultured bacterium
Lineage: Bacteria
Description: partial 16S ribosomal RNA
Rfam family: Bacterial small subunit ribosomal RNA
Source: RNAcentral